UACAGAGGUGGCAAGCGUUGUUCGGAAUUACUGGGCGUAAAGGGCGCGUAGGCGGCCUUCUAAGUCAGACGUGAAAUCCCCAGGCUUAACUUGGGAACUGCGUCUGAUACUGGAGGGCUUGAGUGCGGGAGAGGGAUGUGGAAUUCCAGGUGUAGCGGUGAAAUGCGUAGAUAUCUGGAGGAACACCGGUGGCGAAGGCGGCAUCCUGGACCGACACUGACGCUGAGGCGCGAAAGCUAGGGGAGCAAACGGG
Molecule: ribosomal RNA, 253 nt
Filed under: uncultured bacterium
Lineage: Bacteria
Description: partial 16S ribosomal RNA
Rfam family: Bacterial small subunit ribosomal RNA
Source: RNAcentral